UACAGAGGUCUCAAGCGUUGUUCGGAUUCAUUGGGCGUAAAGGGUGCGUAGGCGGCGCGGUAAGUCGGGUGUGAAAUUUCGAGGCUUAACUUCGAAACUGCAUUCGAUACUGCCGUGCUUGAGGACUGGAGAGGAGACUGGAAUUUACGGUGUAGCGGUGAAAUGCGUAGAUAUCGUAAGGAAGACCAGUGGCGAAGGCGGGUCUCUGGGCAGUAACUGACGCUGAGGAGCGAAAGCGUGGGGAGCGAACAGG
This 253-nucleotide ribosomal RNA is filed under the name uncultured bacterium. Its description in RNAcentral is "partial 16S ribosomal RNA". It matches the Rfam family "Bacterial small subunit ribosomal RNA", at positions 524 to 776 of the family's 1533-position model. The record is from RNAcentral.